GAGGAGUGAUCCCAGGGAGCAGGAGUGCAUCCCAGAUUCAGAGAGAGCCCAUUAAAGGGUGCAUGAUUGAGCUGCUUCCCGCUGUGGGCAAUUGAGGCUCAGUCCUGCUGGGAACUCUUUGAAGAAUCAUGUUGGAUGAUCCUCAGAAUUAUCCAUCCGAAACCCAGAAGAGGCGGAUAUUUAUGCACCAGUCCUUUCCCCUGUUGGACCAGGGCUAACCCAGGGUAUAUUAAUUCCCUCAUACUUCCAGGUCUCUUCGUGCGUUAGAAGAGCUGUGCACAAUCCAACAAACACCACAGAAGCUAGGGAAGGAAGUAUAAGACAUUGACACAGUAAGGUGACCUGCUAUCAGGUAACAACAGCAUACAGUUGAUGGCCACAGCAAUGCCUGGAGCAAAUGAAUGGGCUGAGAGGAUGCGAGGCAUGGACUCUGGCGCUGACUCUUCUGGCUCCUCCUCCACGUGUAAGGCCCUUGUGACUACACUGGGCACCCUGGAUAAUCAGGCCAAUCUCCUUAUUUAAGGUGAACUGAAGCAGAACACAGAAGUCUAGAAGACAUUUUCCCUGUGAAUACCCAGUCAUGCCUUCCUGACUUCUGGCUGCUUCUUUGACUUCUCAGACAAAUAUUUCAUUUCAGCACUGCUAUGUAUUCCAUAAACCUGACCUAGCCAUAUAUUCUGAUAUUCCCUCUGCUUUCCUGAAGGGUGAUUCAGAACAUCUUUCAAAAUUACUCUGUGGAAUACCAGAAGCACCAUUAUUUCAAAGGCAAAUGUGCCUUCUCCCUAGAGCUCUGAAAAUCUGUUAUGCUUCUUAGGAAACUUCCACAGUCAGAGGUGAGGAAGGGAGUGUUGUCCAAGUGGUAAGGUAGUGUAAUGGGAAGUUGCAGUUAUUUUAUUCCUUACUAAAAAUGCUGUCUCUAAAUAUUAUUAUUUUCUCCAUAUUUUAAAUGUCUGUUUACAAAAAUAAACCAAUUCAUUCACAUCUAUUAAAUUUGAUAUCAGAAUUAGAUAUUAGGAAGUCUGUAUAAUC
RNAcentral lists this long non-coding RNA (1029 nucleotides) under Equus asinus (donkey). Its description in RNAcentral is "lncRNA (ENSEASG00005033669.1)". Lineage: Eukaryota; Metazoa; Chordata; Mammalia; Perissodactyla; Equidae. The record is from RNAcentral.